RNAcentral lists this ribosomal RNA (253 nucleotides) under uncultured bacterium. RNAcentral's name for it is "partial 16S ribosomal RNA". It matches the Rfam family "Bacterial small subunit ribosomal RNA", at positions 524 to 776 of the family's 1533-position model. The record is from RNAcentral.
UACAAAGGGGGCUAGCGUUGUUCGGAAUCACUGGGCGUAAAGGGCGCGUAGGCGGCUUGAUAAGUCGGGGGUGAAAGCCUGUGGCUCAACCACAGAAUUGCCUUCGAUACUGUCGAGCUUGAGACCGGAAGAGGUAAGUGGAACUGCGAGUGUAGAGGUGAAAUUCGUAGAUAUUCGCAAGAACACCAGUGGCGAAGGCGGCUUACUGGUCCGGUUCUGACGCUGAGGCGCGAAAGCGUGGGGAGCAAACAGG